Molecule: ribosomal RNA, 503 nt
Filed under: uncultured bacterium
Lineage: Bacteria
Description: bacterial SSU rRNA
Rfam family: Bacterial small subunit ribosomal RNA
Source: RNAcentral
AGUUUGAUCAUGGCUCAGAUUGAACGCUGGCGGCAUGCCUUACACAUGCAAGUCGAACGGCAGCACGGGUGCUUGCUCCUGGUGGCGAGUGGCGAACGGGUGAGUAAUACAUCGGAACGUACCCUGAAGUGGGGGAUAACGUAGCGAAAGUUACGCUAAUACCGCAUAUUCUGUGAGCAGGAAAGAGGGGGAUCGCAAGACCUCUUGCUUUAGGAGCGGCCGAUGUCGGAUUAGCUAGUUGGUGAGGUAAAGGCUCACCAAGGCGACGAUCCGUAGCGGGUCUGAGAGGAUGAUCCGCCACACUGGGACUGAGACACGGCCCAGACUCCUACGGGAGGCAGCAGUGGGAAUUUUGGACAAUGGGCGCAAGCCUGAUCCAGCCAUGCCGCGUGAGUGAAGAAGGCCUUCGGGUUGUAAAGCUCUUUCGGUGGGGAAGAAAUUGCUUCGGUUAAUACCUGGAGUAGAUGACGGUACCCGCAUAAGAAGCACCGGCUAACUACGUG